RNAcentral lists this transfer RNA (76 nucleotides) under Delftia acidovorans. RNAcentral's name for it is "tRNA-OTHER". The record is from RNAcentral. Lineage: Bacteria; Pseudomonadati; Pseudomonadota; Betaproteobacteria; Burkholderiales; Comamonadaceae.
CCCUGCGUGAAAAGGGUACGGGACUCAAAAUCCCCCGCCGCAAGGCGUGCCGGUUCGAUUCCGGCCCCGGGCACCA